RNAcentral lists this small RNA (570 nucleotides) under Pongo abelii (Sumatran orangutan). RNAcentral's name for it is "retained intron". The stretch from base 333 to 409 matches the Rfam family "Small nucleolar RNA SNORD81". The record is from RNAcentral. Lineage: Eukaryota; Metazoa; Chordata; Mammalia; Primates; Hominidae.
AAUGAUGAUAACAUAGUUCAGCAGACUAACACUGAUGAGCAAUAUUAAGUCUUUCGCUCCUAUCUGAUGUAUCUGGCGGUAACAUUCUAGUUUAUGCCCUGAAAAGGGGAAUAUAGCCAUUCUAUAACGUUUGGAGAUUUUGGAUUACUCCUAAUUGUAUGCAAGUUGUCUUACUGUGUAUUGUCCCUUAAUUUCAGGACUCAGAAUUCAUGCUUGAAGAAAUGCAGGCAGACCUGUUAUCCUAAACUAGGGUUUUUAAUGACCACGACAAGCAAGCAUGCAGCUUACUGCUUGAAAGGUGAGGAUUGUAAAUGUUGGGACUAUUAUAAUCGCAGAAUACAUGAUGAUCUCAAUCCAACUUGAACUCUCUCACUGAUUACUUGAUGACAAUAAAAGAUCUGAUAUUCUGCAUUCCCAUGUAGCAUUUUAAUUGAAGUCUGUAAAUGUGGCUAAAAGUCUUAUUUUUUGAGACAGGGUCUUGCCUCACCCAAGCUGGAGUGCAGUGGCCUCUGAAGCUUACUACAGCCUCAAACUUCUGGGCUCAAGUGAUCCUCAGCCUCCCAAUGGUCU